RNAcentral lists this ribosomal RNA (253 nucleotides) under uncultured bacterium. RNAcentral describes it as "partial 16S ribosomal RNA". It matches the Rfam family "Bacterial small subunit ribosomal RNA", at positions 524 to 776 of the family's 1533-position model. The record is from RNAcentral.
UACGGAGGGUGCAAGCGUUAUCCGGAUUUACUGGGUUUAAAGGGUGCGUAGGUGGGUUGGUAAGUCAGUGGUGAAAUACUUUCGCUUAACGAAGGAACUGCCAUUGAUACUACCAGUCUUGAAUACAGUGGAGGUAGGCGGAAUGCGUCAUGUAGCGGUGAAAUGCUUAGAUAUGACGCAGAACACCAAUUGCGAAGGCAGCUUGCUACACUGUUAUUGACACUGAGGCACGAAGGCGUGGGGAUCAAACAGG